AGCUUUGCGCAGUGGCAGUAUCGUAGCCAAUGAGGUUUAUCCAAGGUGCGAUUAUUGCUAAUUGAAAACUUUUCCCAAUGCCCCGCCGUGACGACUUGCAAUAAUAAAUUUGUGUGCUUAUCCAAUUUCUAAUA
This 134-nucleotide small nuclear RNA is filed under the name Cebus imitator (Panamanian white-faced capuchin). RNAcentral's name for it is "U4 spliceosomal RNA (ENSCCAG00000001635.1)". It matches the Rfam family "U4 spliceosomal RNA". Rfam says of the family: U4 small nuclear RNA (U4 snRNA) is a component of the major U2-dependent spliceosome. The record is from RNAcentral. Lineage: Eukaryota; Metazoa; Chordata; Mammalia; Primates; Cebidae.